RNAcentral lists this ribosomal RNA (435 nucleotides) under uncultured Roseburia sp. RNAcentral's name for it is "partial 16S ribosomal RNA". It matches the Rfam family "Bacterial small subunit ribosomal RNA", at positions 341 to 792 of the family's 1533-position model. Lineage: Bacteria; Bacillati; Bacillota; Clostridia; Lachnospirales; Lachnospiraceae. The record is from RNAcentral.
ACGGAAGGCAGCAGUGGGGAAUAUUGCACAAUGGGCGAAAGCCUGACGCAGCGACGCCGCGUGAGUGAAGAAGUAUUUCGGUAUGUAAAGCUCUAUCAGCAGGGAAGAAAAAUGACGGUACCUGACUAAGAAGCACCGGCUAAAUACGUGCCAGCAGCCGCGGUAAUACGUAUGGUGCAAGCGUUAUCCGGAUUUACUGGGUGUAAAGGGAGCGCAGGCGGUACGGCAAGUCUGAUGUGAAAGCCCGGGGCUCAACCCCGGUACUGCAUUGGAAACUGUCGAACUAGAGUGUCGGAGGGGUAAGCGGAAUUCCUAGUGUAGCGGUGAAAUGCGUAGAUAUUAGGAGGAACACCAGUGGCGAAGGCGGCUUACUGGACGAUAACUGACGCUGAGGCUCGAAAGCGUGGGGAGCAAACAGGAUUAGAUACCCUGGUA